This 404-nucleotide ribosomal RNA is filed under the name uncultured bacterium. Its description in RNAcentral is "bacterial SSU rRNA". It matches the Rfam family "Bacterial small subunit ribosomal RNA", at positions 362 to 758 of the family's 1533-position model. The record is from RNAcentral.
UAUUGGACAAUGGGCGAAAGCCUGAUCCAGCAAUGCCGCGUGUGGGAAGAAGGCCUUCGGGUUGUAAACCACUUUUGUACGGAACGAAAAGGUCUGCCCUAAUACGGUGGGCCCAUGACGGUACCGUAAGAAUAAGCACCGGCUAACUACGUGCCAGCAGCCGCGGUAAUACGUAGGGUGCGAGCGUUAAUCGGAAUUACUGGGCGUAAAGCGUGCGCAGGCGGUUAUAUAAGACAGUUGUGAAAUCCCCGGGCUCAACCUGGGAAUUGCAUCUGUGACUGUAUAGCUAGAGUACGGUAGAGGGGGAUGGAAUUCCGCGUGUAGCAGUGAAAUGCGUAGAUAUGCGGAGGAACACCGAUGGCGAAGGCAAUCCCCUGGGCCUGUACUGACGCUCAUGCACGAAA